GACAGAGGGUGCAAACGUUGCUCGGAAUUACUGGGCGUAAAGCGCGUGUAGGCGGGCGUGCAAGUCUGCUGUGAAAGCUCCUGGCUUAACCGGGAGUGGUCGGUGGAAACUGCACACCUGGAGGACGGUAGAGGUAGGUAGAAUUCCCGGUGUAGUGGUGAAAUGCGUAGAGAUCGGGAGGAAUACCUGUGGCGAAGGCGGCCUACUGGGCCGGACCUGACGCUGAGACGCGAAGGCGUGGGGAGCGAACGGG
RNAcentral lists this ribosomal RNA (253 nucleotides) under uncultured bacterium. RNAcentral's name for it is "partial 16S ribosomal RNA". It matches the Rfam family "Bacterial small subunit ribosomal RNA", at positions 524 to 776 of the family's 1533-position model. The record is from RNAcentral.